This 1633-nucleotide long non-coding RNA is filed under the name Triticum aestivum (bread wheat). RNAcentral's name for it is "long non-coding RNA (TAES_LNC000430)". Lineage: Eukaryota; Viridiplantae; Streptophyta; Magnoliopsida; Poales; Poaceae. The record is from RNAcentral.
UUGCGUCUCUCGCUGUGAAUCUAAUCUUCAGAUUUCUGUUGUCCACCACAAAAUAACUUGAUUAAAGAUACUAUGGGAUCUUGGAGACCUCAGAUGUAGGUGAGGAUGAGAUGCCAGAUAUGAAAUUAUGAAGGAUGAGACAUGUCUGAUGAAGAAGGCUCGGCUAGGUAUAUUAGAACAAUCCAUGUUUUAUUCUUGGCACUAUACAAGUGCAUCUCCUCUUUUACUGUAAUAGCAUGAUGCGCUAAUUUUCUUAUGAGUCUGAUAAAUAUGUAUAAUAUAUGAUUAUUGAAGCCCACAUAUAUUUUUAAGCAAUGCAGUAUGUGGUAUUGUUUUUCAUUUCUGUUAGACAAUAGUAAAAAGAAAAUCUGGUCCAAAAGUAUGUGGUAUACAGUUUUAAAAAAUGGUCUGGUGGUCAGGAGUCAUGUAUGAUAUAGUUAUCAUUUCGAUGCUUAAAGCUGGUCAUUUUGUAGGAAUAUGCCAGGGUUUUUGUCAAAUGCAAGCUGCACUUUAUAUUUUUUCAAAUGGAUUUUCUUAUCAAAUAAUUGUCUCUUACGUGGAUAUACUUUGUGUUAAACCCAAGAAAUAAAAGGUGAAUUAUCCAUGAUUAUGAUCUGGUAUUACUUUGAACAUUUUGUGUGUCAUGGUAUCCUAAAAUACGGUCUGCUUUUUAGAGUUUAUUCCCAUUUACUUGUGUUCUUCCAAAAUAAUAGUAUAUUAGUUGUUUAUUAGACUUCCUUCUGGUUGUUGAAAUUUAAAUGUUUGUCGUGGAAUAGGAAAUUUGAGUACAGUAGCCGUUAGCCUGAAAAUAAUAUAGUGAGCCAUAGAGAAGAUUGUUGCUCUAAUUGACUGGUAUUUAUCGCGCUGAUCUCUUUCUCUCGCACCUACAAUUGUAAAAAUGCCCCUGCUGAAUAUCUUGAACGGUCCUAGAACCUUCUCACUUACAGGUCUAGUGAUCCUUGCGAACUUCUUUCCAACAUUGAAGCACAAAUUGCAAAAGCAAACGAUGAAUCCAUAACAAAGAAAGAUAUCAUGAAGAGAGUAGACAAAUGGCUAUCGGCCUGUGAUGAAGAGACUUGGCUUGAGGAAUAUAAUCAAUCCUGUUUUUUUCAAUGAAAAUAUGCUAGCACAUGGUCCAUCAGUUUAAUAUGAUUUCCCCCUUUUUCUUCUCUAUGUUGGCAUGCUUGUACUGAUAUUCAAUUUGGCUGCCAAGCUAUGAUUUAGGUAAUGUCCUCUUUAAUGUUUGCAUAUGCCCUACUGCAGGAUGAUAAGAGGUACAGGCAGGGGUGCCCAUUUGAAUCUCAAGCAUGCAGAGAAAGCAGGGGUACUUGUUCAAAAGAUUCCAAGUGAGUGAGUCUUCGUUUCUUCAUUUGGACACUGUAGUGAUUUCCGUAUAACUGUGCUCCAUCAUUCAUAAGCGCAAUCUACUUCCUAUUUUGUCAAAAAGAUCCACUGUGAUCUUCGUUUCUUCGGUUGGUCACUCAGUCGCUCAUUUGGUAUGUAAUAUGAUCAGAAGCUACAUUUGUGCAGCUAUGAUUGACAACUUGAUAGACAAGACAUUUGCCUGGGAGGAUGAAAGCAAUACACCAUUUCUUUAUGACGUGGUAAGUCACUGAGCUAGCUCACCAUGAUU